This is a long non-coding RNA of Mus musculus (house mouse), 784 nucleotides long. RefSeq annotates it as predicted gene, 41143. The transcript is spliced from 3 exons. The record is from RefSeq and is a predicted model, not a curated record. Lineage: Eukaryota; Metazoa; Chordata; Mammalia; Rodentia; Muridae.
UCAUCCACGCUUUGCCCACCCGCGUCGAGAGACCCCGUUCCACGCAGACACAGGGACCCAGAAGGUCUGCAGCAGCUGGCGCCCGAACAGGGACACCAGAGCGAGAGACUUGAACGUGAUUCCCAGCGUGGAGUCUGCUUACUUAUACACGCCUGUAACUCCAGCACCAGGGGGUCCGAUGCCCUCUUCUGUCCUCCAUGGGCACAUCUGACUUCUGUACACAUGUAAUGCCCACAGACACACAAACCAGAGGCUGCAGUUUCAUCAUGCCUGUCCACAACCCUCUGGAUAAAGAGUGUGUCCCAGGAUUGGAGCUAUUAAAACCCUGACAUUCUGGAGAUGACCCUUGCCUGCCACCACCAAGCGUGGGUAGAGCAGAAGAUACCCGGAGACGUGAGUGCCACUAAGAAGAGCAGGUGAGUGGUGGAGAGAUGGGAGAGGAGGAGAAGCAGAAGGAUGUGGGCACAGUGAGGAGAGGCGGGAUGGAGACUGGAUGGAAGUGAGGAACAGCCUGAUGUGAGUAGCCUGCUCUCUCAUGUGACACCAUGGUGAAGUCCCAGCCUGUGGGUCCGUGGCACUGCAGCAACAGGGGUCUGUGUUGAUGAACAUGACCCACCAAAGGCCAUGCAGACAUCCCUGGUCUGGGUUGCAGCCUGGGGCCAUAUAGAUGUCCGAGGGCGCUGCAAGACUGGCCCCGCCCCUCAUCUGGACAGUGCUGGAGAACUGGCCCUAGGGGUGUGGGUGCAGGAGAGCUCAUGAGCUGACCAACUCAGCUGCCACCCAG